Long non-coding RNA from Thunnus maccoyii (southern bluefin tuna), 2557 nucleotides. RefSeq lists it as uncharacterized. Lineage: Eukaryota; Metazoa; Chordata; Actinopteri; Scombriformes; Scombridae. The record is from RefSeq and is a predicted model, not a curated record. The transcript has 2 exons.
CUGCACCUGGUCCAGGGAUUUGUGCCAACAAUGUUCCAGCCCCCUAUCUAAUCUCAAAGCUCCUGCUGCCCCAGACGUGUGUCACUGAAUCCCUGGCACUGAAAGGCAACAGCGUGGGACACGGGCCUUCUUCGAACUUUCGUCACUUCACCUCCACCUCCACCUCCAGAAAACCCCCACUGUUCCCAGCUGUUAGGCCCAAAGGGACACACCCGACAUUGGCCAUGUGUACUCAGGAAACCUUCAGGCCCGAGUCCUGGCCUUUGGGCUUCCAACCUUACUUUUCACUCUGAACUCCAAGCCAAGAUGCAGUUGGAUAGAUUUCAAGGUGGAGGAAGGCCAGCCUCCAACUCCCUGUUCCUCUCCUGUCCAAGGAACUUGCUGGAUGGAUAUCAGCUCCCAAACAACUCCCUCCCUCAUCCUCCCUUUCUCUACCUCCUUCACCGUAUCCUCAUAUUUCACCACUCACAUGUGGGAAAUCCCUCCACCUCUCCACCUCUCACUCAGAACACACAUCUCUCUACGACUUGCUCUCUCCUGUUAGUGCUGUGGUGUUUGUGGUCCAUUUUGUCUAAAUCAAUAUGUGCAAAAUGGAGAAUAGAUUGGAUCAUUUUGACAUUUGGAUCUCAAUGUAUUUGUGCUUUUUCAGAUGGCUCAGAAGGUCAGAGGCAGAUGUGGUUUCAUAUUUAGUUUGGAUCCACUCUGACAGUGAUUUGCUCGGCUUCUGCUAAAUCUCACAUUGUUGUAGUGUAAUGGGAUGUGAGCCGCAAGGUCAGUUUGUUAGCGUGUGUGUGUGUUUUUAUUUUGCGUAUUUCCUAUAUUGUGUAUUUUUUUUAGUCUGCCUAUACUUUUUAUGCGUUUAUGUGCAUCUUUUCAUUGCUUUCUCACUUUGUCUCCCUAUCCCUGUGUGCUUGUUUGUGUGUUUACGCACUUUUGUUUGUGUGUGGUUAGUUGAGGUUGAUGAGAAGCCCAGAGUUUGGCAGGGGAGUCAUUGUGGCCAGUGCUCUGUUUAUACAAGUUUCUGGCAUGGUCUUUGUGAAAAGUAUUCUGUCCUCCUCUGGCCUUACAAACAGGAGCAUAAACACACACACACAGUCACUCCUCUGUAGCUUUCAUCUUCACAUCAUUCACUAUUGUAAAAAUCUGCUUUAAAACUGAGUUAAAAGCCAGUCGGAUCAGGGUGAAGGAAUUAGAAUUAAUCAAUCUUGUAAAACCGCUUAUGCUUCACACAGCCGCAGGCCUUAGUCAGCGAAUGAGUCACUCUGUUGCUUGUUUGAUUCCACACAAGCUGUACUGAUGGAGUGGAGCAGAAAAACUAUUUAACAUCUGCUACAUAAUAAAUUAUAGUAUUGUACCUAACUAAUUAAGUAAUGGUCAAGUUUGAGUUUCUUAAGAAUCAGCGUGACUCACAAGUCAAGAUUUUACAGACCCAGUCUGACUUAUAGAAGAGGGCGUAGGUUUGUUUUUCAGAAAUUGUCAUGGGUUUGCAAAAGAAACAAAAAAAAUCCUGAAAGAUGCUACGCUAACCAAUAACAUAUGAAAUAGGAUGUUAUGCUUUUCAUAAAAAUGAUCGCUGUGUUUUACAUAAUAAUGUUAGUCCAAAAAAAAGAAAGAAAAAAUUGUUUUAAUGCACUAACCUUAAGCAAAAUUAUUUUUUGUUUCAUUGAUAGAGGAGUGGUAGGAGAGGUUUGAGAUUUUGGGAAGCACACUUAAGAACAAUGUCCCCUACUGCCAAUUGUCCAUCUAUUGAUCAUAUUAUAAUUACAUGUGGUCAACUGUAAACAAUGUUCCAGAAAAACAUGAAAAGGAGGUUGACAAAGUUUUUUCAGGCCUAGGUAGCAUCUACAAUUGUUCCUCUCCACCAAUCAGAGUCCUGCAUGUAGCCUGAAAGGUGAAUCCCAGGAAGGGUGAUGAUGAACCUCUGGAUUAUAACGACUAGACAGUAAGAAAACACUAUUUACUAUAGGGACUACAUUAAACUGCAUUGUUCUUUCUCUGUAUUGUAGAUAUUAAACUGUAAUAUGCUACUUUCAUACUGUAUGUCUGUAUUGACUGAACUCUUGCUCCUGAUUCAGAACACUUGAGGUUUCUUCUUGAGAAUUGGCCUCUCUAUCUGUUAUGAACAUAUGUCUUGUACUGUGCCUGGACAAUGUCUUGUUAGGCUGAGUAACACUUCACUUGACAUUCAAAUCUGCCUCCAACAUAGUCAAACUGGAUUUUUUACUUCCGUUGCCAAAAACUAGAUUGCUGUUUAUGUCUUUUUCUCUCCUAAUAUUUACAUGCUGUAAAAGCGCCAGUAAACACCUUGUCUUGAUUGUGGCAUUAUCCCAACAAUCCGUUACUGACUAAGAUGUUAGUUAUACUUAGUAAGAUGUCUGUCACCUGGCUGGAUCCACACAAUAAAGCUUAUUUCCAUUUCCAUGACACCAAAUGCGCUAAUGUCCUCUUUGACGCCUGAUUUUAUUGAUGAGACGUUACCCAUCUUGAGUGUAGUUACAUCUGGAUUUCAUGUCGUGUUUGUCUUUUCUGAAUGCAAAAUAAACAGUUUUUCCUUUCA